Macrobrachium nipponense is the source of this 873-nucleotide long non-coding RNA. RefSeq lists it as uncharacterized. The transcript has 3 exons. The record is from RefSeq and is a predicted model, not a curated record. Lineage: Eukaryota; Metazoa; Arthropoda; Malacostraca; Decapoda; Palaemonidae.
UUGAAAAGUCCCACAUACAUAUGCAAUAUAUGUGGAUUUGUGUGUGUUACUUCUCAAACAUAAUUGGUAUCCAAAAUUUUGAUUUGGCAUUUUGUUUUUCACUUAGUAUAUUUUUAGCACAUUUUCUUAUGUUUGCCAAAUUUGAAAUUAUGUUAAACCUACUCAUUUGAAACAUUCCAAGACACUAUGAAGAGGAAUAUACUUUUUGCUUUUAUUUGUAGACCUUUUGAAAAUAGGAAAGAAUUAAAAAAAGAACUAUGGCAUUACAGAGAGAAAAAACUUUACCAAACACAAGAUGAAUGAAAUAGUUAUAUAGAUCUACAGAUACCUUACAUAAACAAAGGAGGAAUAACAACAAGCAAGGGAGGAGCCGUUUCAAAGACAAACACCGCCUACUACUACUACUACACUCACGUGGACUGGCUGAGGUCAAAUUUAAAACCAUGAAAUUUUCCCAUCUCUGAAGAGCACUACUGCUGACCAUUUCUGCAGGCGCAAAAUCAUCACCAAGAAGAACAAACGUGCUUUGUAAGACAAUUUAUUGCGACCUCUUAUGGUGGAAGUGAUGCGACCUCUUGUGAUGACAAUGACAAAAUUGGAAAGUAGGGUGCAAGAUCAGCAGAAGUCACUAGAGAUAAUGAUAUGGGUACCAUCGAACAUUUGAAACAAACUCAGGCUGCUGCACCCACUGGACCUGAUUUAUCCCUGCUGGACGGAUUGCUACCAAUACAAAGAUAUGUAGACUUUGAGGACUUUGAACAACAGAUAAAUGGGGAAAGUCCCCUUAGAAAGUCACUGGUACAUAGACUCUAGAUUCUUGGGGGAGCAACCGUCAGCAGUCAAAACCAUGAUUGACUUCUGCAUGACAAGUGG